AAUACUAGAGUUUGAUCCUGGCUCAGAAUGAACGCUGGCGGCGUGCCUAACACAUGCAAGUCGAGCGCGAAAGGGCUUCGGCCUGAGUAGAGCGGCAAACGGGUGAAUAAUACACGGGAAUUUACCUUUCAGUGAAGAACACCUUCGAGAAAUCGAAGUUAAUACUGCAUACGUCCCUUCGGGGAGAAAGCUGGCCUCUUGCUGGCGCUGAAAGAGAAGCCUGUGUCCUAUUAGCUAGUUGGUAGGGUAAAGGCCUACCAAGGCGAUGAUGGGUAGCCGGCCCGAGAGGGUGUACGGCCACACUGGAACUGAGACACGGUCCAGACUCCUACGGGAGGCAGCAGUGAGGAAUCUUGCACAAUGGACGAAAGUCUGAUGCAGCGACGCCGCGUGAAGGAUGAAGGUCUUCGGAUUGUAAACUUCUGUUGAGGGGGAGAAAAUGCGCAACAAUAAUACGGUUGCGAGAUGAUAGUACCCCUAGAGAAAGCACCGGCUAACUACGUGCCAGCAGCCGCGGUAAUACGUAGGGUGCAAGCGUUAUUCGGAGUAAUUGGGCGUAAAGGGUGCGCAGGCGGCAUAUUAAGUCAAUUGUUAAAUCUUCCAGCCUAACUGGAAAUCUGCAAUAGAUACUGAUGUGCUAGAGAAUGGAAAGAGAGAAGUGAAUUCUCGGAGUAGCGGUAAAAUGCGUAGAUCUCGAAGAGGAACACCGAUGGCGAAGGCAGCUUCUUGGUUCAUUUUCUGACGCUUCUUGCACGAAAGCGUGGGGAGCAAAACAGGAUUAAGAUACCUGGUAGUCACGCUGUAACGAUGAUCACUAGACGUCAGUUCCCUUUGCGAAUUGGGUCGAGCUAACGCGAAUAAUGAUCGCUGGGGAGUACGUCCGCCAA
Molecule: ribosomal RNA, 887 nt
Filed under: uncultured bacterium
Lineage: Bacteria
Description: bacterial SSU rRNA
Rfam family: Bacterial small subunit ribosomal RNA
Source: RNAcentral